GGGGGGGGAUAUACUUGUGACAUAUCUGUAUUCCCGCUCGUGAAAUCCAUAGAUUUGGACCAAAUGAAUUUAAUUAAAUUGACAGAUUUUCUCAUAUGAGCUGUAACUCGGUAAAAUCAAUGACCAUUUUUGUUUUUAUAUAUUCCCAAAUGUGGCAUUUACCCUUAUAUCACGGAGAUGUCUUACUCUUCAGCCUGCAACGCUUAUGGUGCUAAAAAAGAGCCAGGAAGGAUAGUCAUAAGGUUGAAGAGCAGAUGACAGUUUUGGAGAGGGAGAUAAACUCUGAGUCACCAUCACCAGCCAUUAAAUGUUUGCGGGUCUUUGUCAAUCUCUCCCAGUAGGAGAACGAACAUCAUGUCCCUGUACUAGACUAUUACAGCGAAACAUGUCGACACAACUUCGGAGUUUGAACACAGCUUUACCGGCAAGCGCUGAUGUUGAGGCAGCAGAGCCUAAGAGGAGAUCUGAGAGAUUGGUAAAUAAACCUGCAAUUGCAAAGGCAGAGCCCAAGCCAAAGAAGGAGAAGGCAGCACCUAAGCCCAAGAAGGCUAAAGAGGUGAAAAAGACCGAGCCUGAGAAGGAGGUGCCCGCAGAGAAUGGAGAAGCCAAAGCUGAGGAAGAGGCACCAGAAGAACCUGAACAGAAAGAGGAGGAAGAGGCGGCCGAAUAACAUCUCUCAAACCACAUCUUUUAUCAGUGCUCCCUGUACCUCUUUUUCUUGUACAAUUCAGGGGUAUAUUUUUAUCGACUAUUUUCUAAAUGCAGGUUUUUUAGUAGUUUGAUUGUAGAAACACAUUUUUUUAUGAAAUAAAAAAUACAAUUUGAGAUGGGGAUUUCAUUGCAUCCCAUGUUUUUACAUCUCUGGAACAAUUACGGUCAUUGUAAAUGUCAACGGUUUUUAUUUUCGCUAUGGGGGAGGGGUGGGAAUGGGACAGGUUACUACACCAAGAACAUGCAAGCACGUCGUUUACAGGAUCUGGUCAAAACAACAGAGAGCUUGUCUGAGAGACUAACAUUCCAUAGGCUAUAUGAGGGAAGGUAUACGUAACCUGCAUUGUGUGGUGGGGAUGAAUUAACUCAAGGGGGAACACAUUGUUUUAUUGUUUAUAAUGAGGAAAACAUUUUAAGGUGUUUAAACUGUGUUCCAUAUGUUAACUCUUGUACUCAUUAUGUUUUUCUUUACCAUUCUGCUUAAUAAACCUAUUCCCUAGUACUGGAGUUCCUCCCUAUCAGGCCUGUGCAUUGGGUGUAAUUGGUUGGCUCUGUUCUGUGAUAGCAUUGCAAUAAAUUUGUAUAGCUGCUAUUAAAAGGGGUUUUCAACUUUCUAUAUGCAGUGUGUAAUGGUACAUUGUGAGUAUGGUAAAAUGGAAUUGUGUUCUUAGCCAAGCUAAAGAAGUACAUAAGUUAAAUAUACUGACGAUUAUGGUUCCUUGGAUGCUGAGAAACUGUACAUCCAUUUGAGCUGUCAAAUACACAAACCAGCAGUAGCAAUAUUCAUGUGGGGUUUAGGUAUCAAGUACAAGUGUACAGUUCUUUUAUCCUUUGUUUAUAGAUGUAUCUGUGUAAUGAUUGGUAUAAACAAACCAAUAAAAAUUUGGUUGUACUUGUUUUGUUCUUUGUGUGAUGGAAAUGGACAAUGUCUGAAUCUAAAUAAUCAUGUAAAAACUAAAUGGUUUUAGAUGCCAGUUCUGACCACAUAUGUAAUGCAGUAGCUAAAUAAUACCAGUUCUGAGACUGGCAUGAAAAACGUUACUUGGUUAUUAGACUCCUGUCAGACUCAUUCCAUGGGCACAUUGUUUCCACUCCUCCUAUUUACUUGAUUGAUCAAUUGAGGUGGCUGAUUAGUAAUAACUCACCUCAUUGUUUAGGUCUUAAUUGGACACAAUUUGAAAUAAAAUAAAGAUCAGAAG
This is a long non-coding RNA of Oncorhynchus kisutch (coho salmon), 1910 nucleotides long. Lineage: Eukaryota; Metazoa; Chordata; Actinopteri; Salmoniformes; Salmonidae. The record is from Ensembl.